This 508-nucleotide ribosomal RNA is filed under the name uncultured bacterium. Its description in RNAcentral is "partial 16S ribosomal RNA". It matches the Rfam family "Bacterial small subunit ribosomal RNA", at positions 30 to 523 of the family's 1533-position model. The record is from RNAcentral.
AUUGAACGCUCGCGGCAUGCCUUACACAUGCAAGUCGAACGGCAGCGGGGGAGAAGCUUGCUUUUCCUGCCGGCGAGUGGCGAACGGGUGAGUAAUACAUCGGAACGUGCCCUGUAGUGGGGGAUAACUAGUCGAAAGAUUAGCUAAUACCGCAUACGACCUGAGGGUGAAAGUGGGGGACCGCAAGGCCUCAUGCUAUAGGAGCGGCCGAUGUCUGAUUAGCUAGUUGGUGGGGUAAAGGCCUACCAAGGCGACGAUCAGUAGCGGGUCUGAGAGGACGAUAGGCCACACUGGGACGGAGACACGGCCCGGACUCCUACGGGAGGCAGCAGUGGGGAAUUUUGGACAAUGGGCGAAAGCCUGAUCCAGCAAUGCCGCGUGUGUGAAGAAGGCCUUCGGGUUGUAAAGCACUUUUGUCCGGAAAGAAAUGGCUCUGGUUAAUACCUGGGGUCGAUGACGGUACCGGAAGAAUAAGGACCGGCUAACUACGUGCCAGCCGCCGCAGUAA